This 482-nucleotide long non-coding RNA is filed under the name Rattus norvegicus (Norway rat). RNAcentral's name for it is "long non-coding RNA NONRATT004053". Lineage: Eukaryota; Metazoa; Chordata; Mammalia; Rodentia; Muridae. The record is from RNAcentral.
ACGGCAGGUCCGUGCUGUCUCGAACCACAGAAACCUAGGAGAACUCCACGAAGCACCCUUAUGCUAAGCAGCUCCCAGAGCUGUCCAGCCACGCCGGAUCCCCUCCCCCACCGCGCCGACCUGUCCCGCCUUCUAACCUCGACCCCGAGCCGUAAUGAUCCUGCAACAGCCCCUGGAGCGAGGCCCCCCAGGGCGGGACCCACGGGCCACCACUGGGGUGACUCUUGGCCUGGAUACCAGGGAACCCUUGCACAAGCACUUCCUGUCUGAGGAGAACAUGGCCACCCAUUUCUCCCGACUCAGCCUACAUAAUGACCACCCCUAUUGCAGUCCCCCUGUGACUUUUCCCGAAGCCCUGCCACCACUCAGGAUAACCCCAGUCCCUACUACUCUGCGUCCCCAGCUGGGGAGAUCAUGGAGCUCUGAGUGUCGAUGACCUGUGUCCCUCCCCACCUUCUUCCUGACUAUAGAGACCAGCAACU